Molecule: ribosomal RNA, 2169 nt
Filed under: human gut metagenome
Description: bacterial LSU rRNA
Rfam family: Bacterial large subunit ribosomal RNA
Source: RNAcentral
AGAUUCCGUAAGUAGUGGCGAGCGAACGCGGAAGAGGCCAAACCUAAUGUAGUAAUAUGUUAGGGGUUCGGACAGUAUAAUGAAUUGUCGAGAUUUAGCCGAAUGUCAUGGGAAGGGCAAUCAAAGAAGGUGAAAAUCCUGUAGGCGAAAAGUUAAGACAUCAGACUGUAUCCAGAGUACCGCCGGACACGUGAAACCCGGUGGGAAUACGGGGGGACCAUCCUCCAAGCCUAAAUACUACUCGGUGACCGAUAGAGAAGAAGUACUGUGAAGGAAAGGUGAAAAGCACCCCGGAAGGGGAGUGAAAGAGAACCUGAAACCUUGUGUUUACAAGCACCGAAAGUUCAUCAACGAACGAUCGGGUACCUUUUGUAGAAUGGUCCGGCGAGUGAAUGUAACUGGCAAGGUUAAGCACUUAAGGUGUGAAGCCGUAGCGAGAGCGAGUCUGAAAAGGGCGUAAGAAGUCAGUUGUAUUCGACCCGAAACCGGGUGACCUACCCAUGUCCAGGCUGAAGUGCAGGUAAAACUUCAUGGAGGGCCGAACCGACUCCCGUUGAAAUGGUAGCGGAUGAGGUGUGGGUAGCGGAGAAAUUCCAAUCGAACCCGGAGAUAGCUGGUUCUCUCCGAAAUAGCUUUAGGGCUAGCCUUGGAAUAGAUUACUGGAGGUAAAGCACUGAAUUGGCUAGGGGCCGAGAGGUUACUGAACCUUAUCAAACUAAGAAUGCCAGAUAAUCGUUUUCCAGGAGUCAGACAGUGGGAGAUAAGUUUCAUUGUCAAAAGGGAAACAGCCCAGACCUACAGCUAAGGUCCCAAAGUAUAGUUAAGUGGAAAAGGAUGUGGAAUUGCAUAGACAACCAGGAUGUUGGCUUAGAAGCAGCCACUCAUUAAAAGAGUGCGUAAUAGCUCACUGGUCGAGUGAUUCUGCGCCGAAAAUUUAACGGGGCUAAACUAUACACCGAAGCUUAGGAUACCGCAAGGUAUGGUAGGAGAGCGUUCUGUACGGAGUGAAGUCGUAGCGAAAGCGGCGGUGGACUGUACAGAAGUGAGAAUGCCGGAAUAAGUAGCGAGAAUUAAGUGAGAAUCUUAAUGGUCGAAAGUCUAAGGUUUUUGGAGGAAGGUUCGUCCGCUCCAAGUAAGUCGGGAGCUAAGGUCAGGCCGAAAGGCGUAGCCGAUGCACAAACGGUUGAUAUUCCGUUACCGUCUACAAUUUAAACAAAGGGACACAUACAAAGCGUUUAACCCGGGCGAUGGUUGACCCGGGCGCAAGGGACUGAAAUUAGAGUAGGGAAGUAAAUGUGGCGUAUGGCGAGAAAAGCUUUGUGUAUAGAAGUAGACGCCCGUACCGCAAACCGACACAGGUGGACAGGAAGAGAAUUCUAAGGCCAGCGGGAGAAGGGUAGUUAAGGAACUCGGCAAAUUGACUCCGUAACUUCGGAAUAAGGAGUGCUCGAAAGAGCCGCAGAGAAUAGGCCCAGGCGACUGUUUAGCAAAAACACAGGUCUCUGCCAAAUCGAAAGAUGAAGUAUAGGGGCUGACACCUGCCCGGUGCCGGAAGGUUAAGAGGAGGAGUGCAAGCUCCGAAUUGAAGCCCCGGUAAACGGCGGCCGUAACUAUAACGGUCCUAAGGUAGCGAAAUUCCUUGUCGGGUAAGUUCCGACCCGCACGAAUGGUGUAACGAUCUGGGCACUGUCUCAACUACCCACCCGGCGAAAUUGUAGUACCGGUGAAGAUGCCGGUUACCUGCGGCAAGACGGAAAGACCCCAUGGAGCUUUACUGUAGCCUGAUAUUGGGUUUCGGAAAUCUAUGUACAGGAUAGGCGGGAGACUGGGAAGUAUGAGCGUCAGCUUAUACGGAGUCAUUGUUGGGAUACCGCCCUUAGGUUUCUGGAAUUCUAACCUGCGACCGUGAAUCCGGUCGGGGGACAUUGUCAGGUGGGCAGUUUGACUGGGGCGGUCGCCUCCGAAAAGGUAACGGAGGCGCUCAAAGGUUGGCUCAGCACGGACGGAAACCGUGCCUCAGAGUGUAAACGCAAAAGCCAGCCUAACUGCGAGGAUGACGGUCCGAGCAGUAACGAAAGUUGGAGUUAGUGAUCCGGCGGUAUGUGAAUGGAAAUGCCGUCGCUCAACGGAUAAAAGCUACCCUGGGGAUAACAGGCUGAUCUCCCCCAA